Molecule: transfer RNA, 95 nt
Filed under: Klebsiella quasipneumoniae
Lineage: Bacteria; Pseudomonadati; Pseudomonadota; Gammaproteobacteria; Enterobacterales; Enterobacteriaceae
Description: tRNA-Ala(agc)
Source: RNAcentral
UGGCGGGCCUGGGCGAGGGAGGCCGCCAUGCCCGCCAGCCGCAGGCGCGGGUGUUUCUGCACAAGCUCGGCGUGCAGGCGCGCCAGCUCGCUCUC